Molecule: ribosomal RNA, 253 nt
Filed under: uncultured bacterium
Lineage: Bacteria
Description: partial 16S ribosomal RNA
Rfam family: Bacterial small subunit ribosomal RNA
Source: RNAcentral
UACGUAGGUGGCAAGCGUUGUCCGGAUUUAUUGGGUUUAAAGGGUGCGUAGGCGGUUUAAUAAGUCAGUCGUUAAAGGCAUCAGCUUAACUGGUGUAAGGCGAUUGAUACUGUUAGACUUGAAUUCUUGGGAGGUACAUGGAAUGCGUGGUGUAGCGGUGAAAUGCAUAGAGAUCACGCGGAACGCCGAUUGCGGAGGCAUUGUACUACUAAGAGAUUGACGCUGAGGCACGAAAGUGUGGGGAGCAAACAGG